This 396-nucleotide ribosomal RNA is filed under the name uncultured bacterium. RNAcentral describes it as "partial 16S ribosomal RNA". It matches the Rfam family "Bacterial small subunit ribosomal RNA", at positions 523 to 918 of the family's 1533-position model. The record is from RNAcentral.
AUACGUAGGUGGCAAGCGUUGUCCGGAAUUACUGGGUGUAAAGGGAGCGCAGGCGGGCGUGCAAGUCAGCUGUGAAAUCCAUGGGCUUAACCCGUGGGCUGCAGUUGAAACUGUAUGUCUUGAGUGAAGUAGAGGUAGGCGGAAUUCCGAGUGUAGCGGUAAAAUGCGUAGAUAUUCGGAGGAACACCGGUGGCGAAGGCGGCCUACUGGGCUUUAACUGACGCUGAGGCUCGAAAGUGUGGGGAGCAAACAGGAUUAGAUACCCUGGUAGUCCACACUGUAAACGAUGAUUGCUAGGUGUGGGGGGUCUGACCCCUUCCGUGCCGCAGUUAACGCAAUAAGCAAUCCACCUGGGGAGUACGGCCGCAAGGCUAAAACUCAAAUGAAUUGACGGGG